GAGCCCAAUCCAACAUCCGCAUUCCAUCAUCCAUCGUCCUCAUCAAAUUUCAGCAAAAGAAGAGAGAAAGAGAGGGGAAGAGAGAAUCGCAGUGAAACCACAGAAUGGAUAGGGAGGAUAGAUCCAGCCGAAGAGGCAGAGACGAACGCGAGAGAGAUAGAGAUAGAGAUUCAACCAAAGAUCACAGAGACAGAGACCACCACAAGCAUCGAACCACCAAAGACAAAUCUAGAGCCGCCGCCGAUGAAGAUCGUCACAAGCACCGUUCCAAGCAUCGCCAAGUUGCCGACGACGACGACGACGAUCACCGGAGAUCCAGAGAGUACUCUCCCGACCGCGAGAGAUCGCACGAACCGAGGACUGAGAGAGAAGGUAGCAGAGAUAGGGCUCACGAUCGUCGCGAGAAGAACGAGAAAUCGCACGAGAUGAGGAGUGAGAGAGAAGGUAGCAGAGACAGGGCUCACGAUCGUCGCGAGAAGCGCGAUAGGUCGUACGAGCCGAGGAGUGAGAGAGAGGGAAGCAGAGAUAGGGUUUACAAGCGCGAGAAGUCGAAUGAUAGAGAAGAUAUUAGGGAUAGGGUUUUGAGGGAGGACUCGGUGGAGAGGAGGCAUUCGUCGCAUUCGCAUAAAAGGAAAGAGAGAGGUGGGAGUGAGGAUCAGUUCGAUGGAACUGAUAAGAGAAUUAGGGUUUCGGAUGGGAUGAAGGAGGAGAGGAAAGAGAGGAGGCGGUUCGAAGACAGGGUUGAGGACGGAGCGAAGGAACGGAAUGGCGGUGAGAGGGUAGAGAAGAACAGGGAGAGUCGGAGAUAUGACGACGGAGUGAAGGAUAGUGACUCUAGAGAUGUGGAGAUGAGUCGUAGGGAGGAGAAGAGAGAGAGGAGGAAAUUCGAGGAUAGAGUGAAGAAAGAAGAGAUAGAUGCCGAGGACAGUAACAAAAGGAUUUUUGAUGAAAAUAUUGUGAAGAAAGAAUCCAAAGAUGAGCUGUUCGCUAUUGAUCAAUUAUCAAACGGGGGUGGUUCAAUUGGAAAUGGUGCUGCUUUGGAACCACUCAAUAUGGCAUCAAGGACUCUGACUGAGAACUCUCUGGUCCCUAGCCAUCCCCCUCCUACCAAGGUAUCUUCGAUUUAUACCACAAAUGAAAAUAAGGGAGUUAGUAUUACCAGAUCUCAUGAGGUUCCUGGAAAAUCCAGUACAGAUGGGACAUCUUCAGCUGCAGGCAAAAGUGGAAGUUUCUCUCUUGACGCAUUAGCUAAAGCUAAGAAAGCACUCCAAAUGCAAAAGGAGUUGUCUGAGAAGCUCAAGAAGAUCCCACAGUUGAACAAGGGUGCUAGCACAAGUUCAGAAACCUCGCAGUUGGGGUUGAAGGAUGGCUUUAAAGCCCCAUCUUCCAGUUCAGGAAUACUUCCUGCCCCCGUCUCUUCAGUAGCUACUGCUACUAUUCAUGCUGGUGCAACACAAAGUGCAUCAAGUGUACCAGCUGGUGUUUCAGCUUCCGUAAUGCCACCUACUGGUGACAUGGUUCCUCAAGCUGGCCUUACAGCACCCAACUUUGAAGCUGUAAAACGAGCACAGGAGCUUGCUGCCAAGAUGGGAUUUCGGCAGGACCCACAAUUUGCUCCACUUAUAAACAUGUUUCCAGGACAAAUGCCACCAGAGGUUACCAUCCAGCCUAAGCCUGCCAAGGCCCCUGUUCUUCGUUUGGAUGCACUUGGUAGGGAAAUAGAUGAGGAAGGAAAUGUGGUAAAUACAACUAAAGUAAACACGCUGAGCACCCUAAAGGUCAACAUUAACAAGCAGAAAAAAGAAGCGUUCCAAAUUCUGAAACCUGAAUUGGAUGUGGAUCCAGAAAAACAUCCUCAUUAUGAUGCAAGGAUGGGUAUCGAUAAAAAUAAGCUUUUGAGGCCCAAAAGGAUGAGUUUUCAGUUUGUAGAGGAAGGCAAAUGGGCAAGAGAGGCAGAGAUAAUAAAGUUAAAAAGUCAAUUUGGAGAAGCACAAGCCAAAGAACUAAAGGCAAAGCAAGCACAGCUGGCAAAGGCAAAGGCAGAACCUGAUAUAAAUCCAAACUUGAUAGAGGUAUCGGUGAGAGUUAUCCCCGCCAAAGAAAAACCAAAGGAUCCAAUUCCUGAAAUUGAGUGGUGGGAUGUGCCACUUCUGCAUUCUGGUACUUAUGGUGAUAUUAAUGAUGGCAACAUAGCUGAAGAUAAAUUGAAGAUGGAUAGGAUUACUAUCUAUGUGGAACAUCCUCAACCCAGAGAGCCUCCAGCUGAACCAGCUCCACCUCCGCCUCAACCCCUGAAGCUGACCAAGAAGGAACAGAAGAAACUCCGCACACAACGGCGCCUGGCUAGGGAAAAGGAUAGGCAGGAGAUGAUCAGACAGGGCUUGAUAGAACCCCCGAAGCCUAAAGUUAAAAUGAGCAAUCUCAUGAAAGUUCUUGGCUCUGAAGCAACCCAAGAUCCCACCAGGCUUGAAAUGGAAAUAAGGAGCGCUGCUGCUGAGCGUGAACAAGCGCACGUGGACAGGAAUAUUGCACGUAAACUCACUCCUGCCGAACGUCGUGAAAAGAAGGAGAGGAAGCUUUUUGAUGACCCAAAUACAGUGGAGAACAUAGUUUCAGUAUAUAAGAUCAAUAGCCUUUCACACCCCCAAACCCGCUUUAAGGUUGACGUUAAUGCCCAGGAGAACCGGUUGACAGGAUGUGCUGUGAUUUCAGAAGGUAUUAGUGUUGUAGUUGUCGAGGGUGGAAACAAAUCCAUCAAGAGGUAUGGGAAGCUUAUGCUGAAACGUAUAAAUUGGGCUGCUGCUGUGGAAAAUGAAGAUGAAGAUGGAGAUGAAGAUGAGGACAAACCUAUCAACAAGUGUAUGCUGGUCUGGCAAGGGAGUGUCGCGAAACCAAGCUUCAACAGGUUUCAUGUUCACGAGUGCAGGACUGAAGCUGCUGCCCGUAAAGUUUUUUCUGAUGCUGGGGUUGCUCACUAUUGGGAACUUGCUGUUAACUUCACGGACGAGGACUAGAUAUAAUAAUCGGUGAAGCUGUUGACGGAAUCUCUCUCCAAACUUUUAUGGACCAUUGUUUGUGUUGAGCUGCUUCGCUUGCAUGGUCUUGGUUGGUGCAUUUAUCACAGUGAAGAAAAUGGCGCCUUUUGUACUCGGAUCUUGUGGUAAAAAUGGAAGAAUACUUGGCUAGGGUCUGUCUAUCGAUUUCCAUAGAGAAUAACUUGGAUGCAUGCAAGAUUCUGAAAUAUUUAUUUGAUUUCAGUAGCAGUGAAGAAAAUGGCGCUUUCUGUACUCGGAUCUUAUGGUAAAAAUGGAAGAACAGAAAUGUCAGCACAUACAUGUAUAUUUUGUACUCGGAAAUUUGUUUGGUUCAAAUAUCUCCACAACGUUUUUUGCAAGCCUCUUGUUGAUAAUAAAUGAGAUAGACAUUGGUGAA
Molecule: RNA transcript, 3432 nt
Organism: Cornus florida
Lineage: Eukaryota; Viridiplantae; Streptophyta; Magnoliopsida; Cornales; Cornaceae
Gene name: protein RDM16-like
Exons: 7
Source: RefSeq, a predicted model, not a curated record